UAAAUCAGAGGAAGGUGCGGGCUACGGUAGGUCAGUAUGCCCCGAAUUUCCCGGGCUACACGCGGGCUACAAUGAAUGGGACAAUGGGCCCCUACCCUGAAAAGGGUUGGUAAUCUCACAAACCCAUCCGUAGUUCGGAUUGAGGGCUGUAACUCGCCCUCAUGAAGCUGG
RNAcentral lists this ribosomal RNA (171 nucleotides) under uncultured archaeon. RNAcentral's name for it is "partial 16S ribosomal RNA". It matches the Rfam family "Archaeal small subunit ribosomal RNA", at positions 1115 to 1285 of the family's 1478-position model. The record is from RNAcentral.